GAUGAACGCUAGCGGCAGGCUUAAUACAUGCAAGUCAAGGGGGUAGCAAUACUACCGGCGCACGGGUGAGUAACACGUACAUAACAUACCAUAUACUGGGGUAUAGCUUUGGGAAACUGAAGGUAAUCCCCCAUAACAUUGCGAGAGGGCAUCUGAUUGCAAUUAAAGUUUCGACGGUAUAUGAUUGAUGUGCGUUUGAUUAGCUUGUUGGUAGGGUAACGGCCUACCAAGGCGACGAUCAAUAGCUGGCGUGAGAGCGCGACCAGCCACACUGGAACUGAGACACGGUCCAGACUCCUACGGGAGGCAGCAGUAGGGAAUAUUGGACAAUGGGCGAAAGCCUGAUCCAGCCAUGCCGCGUGAUAGAUGAAGGCCCUCUGGGUUGUAAAUAUCUUUUAUCUGGGAAGAAACAAUCUUAUUCUUAAGAUCUUGACGGUACCAGAGGAAUAAGCACCGGCUAACUCCGUGCCAGCAGCCGCGGUAAU
This 485-nucleotide ribosomal RNA is filed under the name uncultured bacterium. Its description in RNAcentral is "bacterial SSU rRNA". It matches the Rfam family "Bacterial small subunit ribosomal RNA", at positions 28 to 524 of the family's 1533-position model. The record is from RNAcentral.